UGGGGAAUAUUGCACAAUGGGCGGAAGCCUGAUGCAGCGACGCCGCGUGAGGGAUGACGGCCUUCGGGUUGUAAACCUCUUUCAGCAGGGACGAAGCGUAAGUGACGGUACCUGCAGAAAAAGCACCGGCUAACUACGUGCCAGCAGCCGCGGUAAUACGUAGGGUGCAAGCGUUAUCCGGAAUUAUUGGGCGUAAAGAGCUCGUAGGCGGUCUGUCGCGUCUGCUGUGAAAACCCGAGGCUCAACCUCGGGCCUGCAGUGGGUACGGGCAGACUAGAGUGCGGUAGGGGAGAUUGGAAUUCCUGGUGUAGCGGUGGAAUGCGCAGAUAUCAGGAGGAACACCGAUGGCGAAGGCAGAUCUCUGGGCCGUAACUGGCGCUGAGGAGCGAAAGCGUGGGGAGCGAA
RNAcentral lists this ribosomal RNA (405 nucleotides) under uncultured bacterium. Its description in RNAcentral is "bacterial SSU rRNA". It matches the Rfam family "Bacterial small subunit ribosomal RNA", at positions 355 to 772 of the family's 1533-position model. The record is from RNAcentral.